GGAGUUAGCCGGUGCUUCUUCUGUGAGUGAUGUCCUUCCUGCCGGCUAUUAACCCGCAGGCCUUCUUCCUCACUGAAAGUGCUUUACAACCCGAAGGCCUUCUUCACACACGCGGCAUGGCUGGAUCAGGGUUGCCCCCAUUGUCCAAUAUUCCCCACUGCUGCCUCCCGUAGGAGUCUGGGCCGUGUCUCAGUCCCAGUGUGGCUGAUCAUCCUCUCAGACCAGCUACGGAUCGUCGCCUUGGUGAGCCGUUACCUCACCAACCAGCUAAUCCGACAUAGGCUCAUCCGAUAGCGCGAGGCCCGAAGGUCCCCCGCUUUCCCCCGUAGGGCGUAUGCGGUAUUAGCCUGGGUUUCCCCAGGUUAUCCCCCACUACCGGGAAGAUUCCUAUGCAUUACUCACCCGUCCGCCGCUCGCCACCAGGGAGCAAGCUCCCCGUGCUGCCGCUCGACUUGCAUGUGUUAGGCCUGCCGCCAGCGUUCAAUCUGAGCCAGAGANAACAACUCUACGACUAGAGGCGGCGUCGACGAAGGCGACAGUAG
This 542-nucleotide ribosomal RNA is filed under the name uncultured bacterium. Its description in RNAcentral is "partial 16S ribosomal RNA". The record is from RNAcentral.